Mastomys coucha (southern multimammate mouse) is the source of this 1431-nucleotide long non-coding RNA. RefSeq lists it as uncharacterized. Lineage: Eukaryota; Metazoa; Chordata; Mammalia; Rodentia; Muridae. The record is from RefSeq and is a predicted model, not a curated record. The transcript is spliced from 2 exons.
CACCCACACAACAGACAGUUUGAUCGCAGUAUAACCUCAUCCUAGCCCGAUUUCAAACAUUGUCAACACGCCCAAGAGAAAGGAAGCAUCUUUUGAUCUUGCCUGAGUUUAUGUUGAUGAGGUGACUAGGACUGAUCCCUAGGGAGCCUCAGGAUGGGGCCCGGCUGCCAGAAAGACCAAGUAAUCAGCUGGCUCAAAACUUUCAGCCCAGACUACUGACCAUUCGGGAGAAAUGAAAUGCUAACAUUGAACUAUAAGAAAUUGGAGAACGGAGGCUUGAGUCACUUCUAGGUUGAUGGACGGACACACUGCAUGCUGAUGGGAUAGCCUACUUGAAGAAGACUCGGAUGCAGGCAUUUCUGAGAUAAAAGAAUUUAUGGAGAACUAUUCCAUGGGCUUGAGUAUAUCUGAGCACCACACAGCAUCCACAAAAGCCUGGAUCCAAUUCCCGGCGCUAAAAUAAAUAGAUAAAUAGAUAAAUUUAAGAGCAAGAAAAGUUACAGAUGCUAGUUAGGAUUCUGGGACCAAUGACACGGCUGGAGAGCCACAGAAAAGAUGCCCGCUAAAUCCAGGCACUAGUGAGCCAUUUAUGUAAGAGAAUUUGAAAGAGGAAGGCAUAAACUGAACUGGAUCUCCAUUAGCAAUAGAUGAGAGGGAAGAGAUGAUACAGGGAAAGGGAGUGUGGAGACAGGAGGAAAGCCCACAGGAAUUACUUGUUGCUUCUGAACGAUGGAAUUUUAUUGGAGAUCGCAAUGUCUGCUCUAGAAUGCAAAACACUCUAUUGUUACUUUGCCCCAAAGCUGUCGUCUGACCCUUUGAAACUGAAGUUAGGACACCUCAGACAAGUGCUCUCAUUCCUUAUACUUUGUCUUGUCUAUCUCCUCCACCUGGUUGCCCUUCAGUUGAAUCCCUUUGUAAUAAUAACUAUCACUAAAGUAACUAAUCAUACUACGAACCAAUGAGAUGGCUCAGCAGGUAUAAGCACAUGUCAGCAAGCUAGACAACCCGGAUUAGAUCUGAAAAACCCACAUGGUAGAAGGAGUGAAAUGGCUUUCAGGCUUUCUCCUGACCACAAGAUGCAGCAAUGGAACCCAGGACAGAAGAGCACGGCUUUGUCCCUGUCUGAGUGAGAAGCUAAUCCCAAAUCCAGCCUCAGCACCUAUGUUGCCAGAUCAAUCCUGGCCACUUACCACAGCCUCCUGGAUCAUGUGAAUGAAAUUUAAACCAGUUUAUCCCAUUGUUAUUUCUGUAAAAUCAGCUCUUCCUGGGCUGGUCUGCUGGAGCAAUCACAAAAGUCCUGCCAUCUGCAAUAGUCCUUUCAAAUCUUAACGUAUCGUCUCCUGUGAUCACAGUAAAAUACAGGGCGACUUCUUAGUAUUACAGUAAGGACUACACAACAUAAUCUACUAAAUAAAUGACAGACAAAAUAUG